ACAGUCUCGUCCCGACGUCCGCGCCGCACGCUUGCCAGAGGAGGUAAUCCGUUCCGCGUAAAUUAUAAUACGAUCGGCUGUGUGUUUUUACGCGUUCCCGUCGCGCCGCCGCACGCAGGACAUUUUCGUCGCCCGUUAUUAUUGUUUUGCAAUAUUAUAGUAUUGAGGCUAUCGUCCGGCGUGCGCGGUUUCCGUUUUCUCGUCGCGGUCUUCGAACAAUUAUUAUUGGACAACAAGUGCAUUUUACCGCUUGAUAAAUAAUCAUCGCCGUGCGUCGUCAGGAUGUACGCUCGCCGGUAACGCGCGCACGACCGUCCGCAGGUGAGUCCGAUUCAAUGUUCUGUUAUAAUUGUAAGCGAUUAUCGUGCGCGGUAAUAUCUCGUUUUGAAAUCCAUUCGGCGAAAUGGGAUUUCGACCGGACCGAGUUUAAGCCCGCGUCCCGGUAAACGUCCGGCCGUAACCGCAAUAUUGAUGACAAUUAUUUACUAUACCCGCGACUUUAUCGGCGUCUUCUUCCUCUUCGCGUUAUUUCCGUACAAAUAUGAGCGAGUGCACCCGUCAGCUAUACCGUGCCUUACUCUGCCUAUACGCUGUCCUAACCUGGCCUAACUCGACUUACCGCGUAUCCGCGUACAGUGUAUCGCGCAAAUACAAAAGCGAUCGAGUGGAUCCGUCGAACGUAACGUGUAUAGAACAGGCGACUCAAAUCAAUUGAGUAGGAGUCUCAAAACACUCGCGACAGCCUGGACUCUGUGCCGGUCCGUAUAAUUUUUCCGCGUUCCUACGCGCCGAUUGUUUACGGAAACAAUCGCACCCUCAGUUCCUUAUAAGACUCGAACCGCCAACGUGUGUCGGUAUAAAGUCUGCUUUCUCCUAUCGCGUUAACAUAUUAUUUUCUUUGUUUGUUUGUU
Molecule: non-coding RNA, 911 nt
Organism: Cinara cedri
Lineage: Eukaryota; Metazoa; Arthropoda; Insecta; Hemiptera; Aphididae
Source: the annotation of a GenBank genome assembly